Molecule: RNA transcript, 5372 nt
Organism: Panicum virgatum (switchgrass)
Lineage: Eukaryota; Viridiplantae; Streptophyta; Magnoliopsida; Poales; Poaceae
Exons: 5
Source: RefSeq, a predicted model, not a curated record
UCCCGUGUCGGGUUGCGUCACCGCCGGAGCAGCAGCGCAAAGCAAGGCGCCGAUUUUUGCUCCCCCGCUCGCCGCCGGUGGCUGCUCCCCCCGAAGCUCCAAACUCCCUUCACCAAUGCCGGCGCUGCCCGCCUCGGCGCCGUUCAGCUCGUGGCGCCGGAACGCCAGCCCCUCGGCGGCGGCGGCGUUCUCCUCGACCCCCAAAUCCCUCCUGCUGCUCCUCCUGGUCCUGCUGCUCCUCCUCUUCGCGCUCUCCAGAGCCCCGGAUCUCGCCUUCUCCAGCACCUCCACCGCCGCUAUCGCGGCCGCCCACUCCUCAUCCCGCCACCUCCGCCCCUUCGACUGCUACGCCUCGCCGCAGGCCUCCCCGGUCGUCGCGAACCUCGUGGAGGGCGUGCCCCGCCCCUUCUUCUACUCGCUCGCCGACAUGGGAGCCCUCCCCGACCGCCCCCACAAGAACAUCGUGCGACUCCUCAAGGGCAAGCGGUUCCGCAAGCCCGACAUCUCCGAGACCAUCCAGGGGCUGCUCGGCGGGGAGGCGGGGAGGGGCGGGCCGUCUGGCGGGGUGGUGGUGGACGUGGGGGCCAAUGUCGGCAUGGCGUCGUUCGCGGCCGCCGUGAUGGGGUUCCGGGUGGUGGCGUUCGAGCCCGUGUUCGAGAACCUGCAGCGGAUUUGCGACGGGGUGUACCUCAACCGGGUGCGGGACCGCGUUGUGGUGUAUCACGCGGCGGCUUCAGAUCGGGUUGGGAACAUUACUAUGCAUAAGGUGAUUGGCCGACUUGACAACAGUGCUAUUUCUGCAACUGGUGCAAAGUUAGCGUUUAAGUCUAAUGAGGAAAUUGCUGUUGUGGUUUCCACAAUCCCAUUGGAUGAAGUCAUUCCAGAUACCGAGCGAGUUCUUAUGAUCAAAAUUGAUGUUCAAGGUUGGGAAUACCAUGUACUCAGAGGUGCAUCAAAAUUGCUUUCGAGGACAAAAGGUGAAGCUCCCUACCUUAUAUAUGAAGAAGAUGAACGCCUGCUGCAGGCAAGCAACACAAGCUCACAGGAGAUAAGGGCAUUUCUGUCUAGUGUUGGUUACAAUCAUUGUACACAGCAUGGCACUGAUGCUCACUGUACAAAAGAAUAGACAAAUUGGUUUCUGAGUGGUGCUCUGAUGCUCCUAAGCUCAAGUUGAUCAGACCAGGGGUUUAGAAAUUUCAUGUGUCCAAUAGUUGGGUUGCCUUAAGUUCCAUGGUACUCUUUGUUUUUUUAACCUUUUAGGUUAGUUUGUUAAUUGCUGAGUCUUGGUAUAAUAGAAAUUUUAGCCAUGAUUAUGUAGCUUAUUUCAUUAAACUUACACUCCUUGUAGAAAUAUAUGUGGUCACAUUGAACAUCAUGAAUCAUAGCGGAUGUUUCCAGAUUCUAGUGCAUUUUUUUUGGAUUAUGACAUUGGAAUUUGUGCUACUUACUGGAUAUCAUUAAUAUAGAUGUUUCAGUUAUCCAGUGUCUUAAGAAGCAUCUAGGAAUUUUGUCUAAAAUUGAAUAGCCAAACUAAUUUAUAUUAACUCACUGUUUGGCUUACCACACAUAUUUCCUUUUAGUUUUCAUAGGUUACCCAAGUAACUUGAUCAUUUUGAAUUAGAUUUGACAUUAAUUUUACCUUGAAUGCCAAGAUCUGACAAGCUGCAUUUUUUUUCCUGAGAGGGCAGAAUGAAUGAAUGGUAAAAAAAAUAACAGUUGCACUUUCCUGAGUUCAGAAGUAUUAUGAUAGUUCACAUAUUAGUACUUCUACUGAAGCUCUAAGCUAAACUAAUCUUUUUUACUUUUAGAUGUAUUUGGUACACUAAAUUCCUUUCCUAAAAUCAAAGUAGCAUCAACAUGGCAAUAUCUAUCGAUAUUGGAUUCUAAGUUUGUGAUCGAGAAAAUAUACUAUUUUCCUAUUUGCAAUUUCUGCUGCAGAAUUUCACCAUCUAUUUCGACCCAAGGGAUAUGUGCAAUCUUCGGCCAGUCAACGCCAUUUUCUUUUUUCAGUUUCUCCUUGAGCAGUGGGUGACAGAGUGCAACUUCAAUCUUCCUAAUGGAUAGCGGCAGCGGUUCCUCUGGCAGUGAUUCCAAUGCAGGGCAGUUCCACAAGACCAACUUAUACAGAGACUUCAUUCUGGACAGGGUUGAAGGGAGUGAUCGCAAUGUAUUACAACCACUGAUACAUAAGCUUUGGAGUGACUUUAGCUGUAGGAGAAUAUCGUUAUCAUCUGUGCUGAAGGAGGUGAUUUCUGAGCAAUCUUGGAUAUCUAGGCUCUCAAUGAGCUCAAGCCUUUCUCUCAGAAGAGGACACUUGAGUAUUGUUAUCUGAUCAGUGAUAAUGCUUCUAAGUAAGCCAAAGCUUGCAUUGAUUUCAAUGGUCAUUGGUGAGGAUAAUCUUGCAAGUAACAACGGACAGUUGAAUAUGCAAAGAGAUGAGACACUGGAUCUAGCAGUGGUUGCAGGUGCCAACUUUACAUCAUGGUGGUAUGGCAUCCAGUACCCCUUCCUUGCCGUUGUUAUCUCCGUAAGGUUAGGAGGUAUUGGAGGCAGUGCUUUGAGCCUACUGCAAUCCUUAAUCACAACAUUGCGUAGAUUCCUCAUUGACGGCCACUCCACAACCACUCAUUGAGUUCUGGCAUGUCAUCAAGCACCAGCUCUUCCAGCAAAUGGAAUGGCCCCUGUUGGCUGCCACUGCCAUAUGCCUCUGGGCCUAUCUGCCUCAGCAUUUUCAAACGCUGCAACCGGAUUGUUUUGAUGGAGGGAAGUUGACCAAGUGGUGGAAGCUGCUCCCAUGCAUUGCAGCCACUUAGGAAAAUAUGCUUAAGAUUACUUAGCCAUUCAUUCUCAAGCCAACUAGGGGAUUUGACUCCCAUCCAACCCAUGAUGUCUAAUCUCUUUAGAUUUUCGUGUGGUUGGAGAGCUUCUAGCACAUCCUCUUCCUUGUUUGUAUUUACCUCAUCUAGAUCAGGGGCCCACAUUAGCUGCAGCACUGAUAGUUGGCUUUUCUUACAGAGCAUGGCUUCCUUUGCCUCAUCAGGAGUAUUGAUAUUCUCAAGGUUUCUGAUCUGGAGGGAUCCUUGGAGCUCUAAUAGAUACCCAAGCUGAACUAUGCUUUGUGUUUGCUCUCUGGUAACCUUAAAAAUGGGCAACCUCUGAAGGCAUUUCAACCUGCCAAUGUUUGUUAUGGAGGAAACAAUUUGAUUAGCUGCUGUGAGAUGUCGUAGAUUAACCAAGUUGUUCAUUCUGGAAGGCAAUUUUCCAAGUUUGCUGCAACCUGCUAAAUUCAGAACCUGUAGGUGGUAGAGUUUGCACAAGAAUUCUGGUAGUGUGGUGAUCAUAGUUGAUGAGAUAUUUAGGUACCGGAGAUGCACACAUUGCCGUAUGCUAUCAGGAAGUUUGUCUAUCAUGCACGGUGACAAAUCCAACACUCGGAGGCUUCUUAGAUUAUUGAGAACCACUUGAGGGAUGGAAGCUUUGAUUGGAGCCACUGUUCUGCUACUGAGGAAAAUUAGAGUGCGCAGAUUCUUGUAUGAUAUUGUAUCAUCAAGUGCUGAAAGGCUAUCUAGAUGCACUGACAGAUGGCGUACUGAUGAUGGGAUUCUUAUCCAUUCAUCAUCUCCUAUUCUGAAGCAUUCUUCUGUUGCAACUGAUUUUGCAAGCUUAUAAAUUACAGGAGGUGUCUAGCUGCAACCUUUGCAGCAAGAGGAAGACCACUGAGUGUCUCAGCAAUUUUCCUUCCGAUGUGCUCCAAUUGUGAAUUGAUGUUGUGGCUUGUCUCAUCAAACAUAGAAGACUUCAUCAGGGACCAGCAGUCAUUAACUAGCAAGGCCUCCAAACUAAUUAUAUAGGACGAUUGCAGCAUCUCAGCCACCAUACUUGACCGAGUUGUCAGAAGCAUCUUGCUCCCCUUCGCUCCAUCCUUUAGGGGGGCUAGCAGCUUCUGCCAGUUCUCUUCUUCCAUUGCUAUUGUAGUGCUGUCACUGUUCCAAACAUCAUCUAGGACAAGGAGGAACCGUUUUGAAGCAAGCCUUGCCUUGAGCGCCACUUGAAGUCUAUUGAAACUUAUUGUGCCAUCAUGCCUAACCGACUGCUGGAAGCUGACUCCAGCAUUUCUUUUGUGAUCCUCAACUCGUCAAAGAGAUGAGUAACAGAGAUCCACAUUCUCACAUUAAAGUUCUCAGUUAUUCUAUUGUCAUUGUACACAUGCUGUGCUAAAGCAGUCUUGCCUAUGCCACCUACCCCAACAAUAGAGACAACAGACACUGGAUUCUCAUCCUGAGAGCUUGUUAGAGUGGUUACCAACUGUUGGGCUUUGAAGUCGCGUUCAAUGAUUUUCCCAAGGACUAUUGAGCUAGUCAUGAUGUUGCGAUUGUUGCUCCUGAUGUUCCUGGGUAGGCUGAGGGCUUCACUGACUCCACUUGCAACCUGCUCAAUACGCUCCAAUAGCUCUACCAUCUUAUUCUUUACCUGGGUUGAUCUAUCCCAACGCUCCAAUAGCUCCGGACUAGAAGCUGGGGCACCUUGGUCACGAAACCGGGAAUGCAUGAAGGCUCUGAUUGGGCUACUGCUGCUCUCGUUUGCACUGGAUUCUUCCAUUUCAUGAUGGAGGCGGUUGUACUCAAGCUUGUCUAGGAGAUCCUCUGCAUGAUAUAUGACAUCUCGGAGUUCCUGCAUCCAUGGAAGAGAGCUGUGGGAGAGUGUGGGCGCCACCUCAGUUACAUGGAGAACUGACUGUGUGCGAAGCAAAGCAACACGAAGCCUGUCUAGCUCAUGGUCGAUGCCACAGUUGGCUGCCCACCUCUGGAGCUUGUAGGAAAGAUACUUAUCGAAGAUAACCUGGAUGAACCAGCCACCUACAGCCAGGUAGCUGGAGAUGUCCAUACUGGACAAAUUCUUACAAGAGGUCGCUGCGGUUCAGACAUUAUGUUGUAUCCAAAUGGAAGAGGAAGACAUAUAUCAGAGAAAUUAGAAGGAAUUCUGGUGUGGAGACUACAAAGAUGUUUUGGUCGAUUUUCUUCACUGGUGGAAAUAUCAGCUUCCUUCAAGUUCCAAUUGUCUUUGGGCCGGUUCUGCUGCUAUUAGUUGGGCCCUUUGGAACAUGUUGAGCCUAUAGACCCUGCUGCUGCGUACAAAAGUGAAAAAAAAACUUGUGCUUUUCUGACAUAGUAGUAGGCAGGUUUGUUCUACACUACUACGCUUCCAGGACCAGGAGAACACAUGGAGGAAGCCAAACAAAUAAAGAAAAUAUAUUGCCAAGUGAUGCAGAAUGUCCCUUGAGGAGGGAUGGUACUAUUUAAAUAUCCCUGAUGCUAUGCAAGACUUAUGGACUUGAUUGACAGGACUAAUUCAGUAAAAGACAUGAACGUGAA